This 215-nucleotide ribosomal RNA is filed under the name uncultured fungus. RNAcentral's name for it is "partial small subunit ribosomal RNA". The stretch from base 39 to 215 matches the Rfam family "Eukaryotic small subunit ribosomal RNA", at positions 685 to 864 of the family's 1831-position model. The record is from RNAcentral. Lineage: Eukaryota; Fungi.
GGGUUAGCAAGUUGGUCGUGCCAAUGGUAUGCACUGGCUUUGCUGAUUCCUCCUUCUUGUAGAACCGUAAUGCCAUUUAGUUGGUGUUGCGGGGAAACAGGACUGUUACUUUGAAAAAAUUAGAGUGUUUAAAGCAGGCUAACGCCUGAAUACAUUAGCAUGGAAUAAUAGAAUAGGACAGCGGUUCUAUUUUGUUGGUUUCUAGGACCGAAGUA